Molecule: long non-coding RNA, 959 nt
Filed under: Marmota monax (woodchuck)
Lineage: Eukaryota; Metazoa; Chordata; Mammalia; Rodentia; Sciuridae
Source: RNAcentral
AAUCAUUCAAAAAAUUCAUUUUUCAUUAAAUUUUCAUUUGAAAUUCUGAUAUAUGAGCACCAAAUUCUUUACUGGUUUCAUAUCAUGAAAUCUCUAGUUUGAGAGUUCUCAUUAACUGUCAGCUAGCCAUGCCUUCGUCCCAGUCUUGCAUUUUGUGCAGUGGCUGUGCCUGUCCUUUAUAAGGCUGUUGUGAGGAUUCAGUGAGAUGAUGUAUGUAGAAUGCUGUGUAAAUUGCUAAGUGCUGUACAAAGACAUGCUACUUGUCCUCUUCGUUAUUUGUUAGAUCCCAGUAGGUUUGACACAGAAUCCUUGCUAUAGAAAUUCUUUUUCUUUUUUUGGGGGGGGGGCAUACCAGAGAUUGAACUCAGGGGCACUAGACCACUGAGCCACAUUCCCAGCAGGAUUUCUAGAGGGCUCAUGGUGGUCUGAGCUGCUCUUUGUUAUAAAGGCCAAGUUUCUCUUUCUUAUAAAAGUUAGGUCUGUAAUCAAGCUUGUUGAUGUGCAAAAAUUACUGUUUGUUUUCUUAGUAAAAGCUUGCAAAAACUCUGUGGAAUCAAACAAAAAGUAACUGUUAUGUUAACUAUUGUGUUGUGUUACCACCACUGAGUAGAAAUCUCAGAGAAUUUCCAGACCUGGGGUCCAGAGAUUGUUUGGCGUUAGCGCCUCUGGAUCGCUGCAGCUUAAAAAACCUGAUUCCUGCAAAUUCCUCAGGUAUUCAGCCUCAUCUGUCCUUCAUCAGUGCCUGCUUGAAAUGCUAGAGUGUCCCCAUUCUUGAAGGGCCCAGAGACAGUCUGUCUGACUCUGCCACAGUAUAAAUUAUAUGCAAAGUCAUUUAUCAUAAAAACUAGGGAGGGACCUCCUGGAAGUAAACUCAACAUUGGAUGAUAAGACUUAUAUAGUAUACAUAUAUUGAUGUGCCGACAUAAACCCCAGAAAGACAUACUAAUGAUACAUCUGAG